UAAAUAGUUGAAACUCUCUUCAAAGCCAUAUUUCAGUCAAAAAAAAAAAAAAAAACAAAGAGCCAAACAACCUCACCGUCGCGAUUAAGCUCAACGGCACCGUUGAGCUCCCACCGUCGCGAUUAAGCUCAAACCGUCGCCGAUGAAGCUCAAACCGUCGCCGAUGAAGCUCCGUUAAGAGCCAACCGUCGCCGAUUAUGCUCAACGGCGACCAUUCGCCUUCCUUCGAACCGGCGACCAUUCGACUUCCCGGCGACCCUUGGCAUUCCUUUGAACCGGCGACCCUUCACCUUCCUUCGAAUCGGUGACCAUUUGACUUCUCGGCGACCCUUCGCAUUCCUUUGAACCGGCGACCCUUCGCAUUCCCGGUGACCGUUCGCCUUCCCGGCUUUGAUUUUUUGGCGUCCUAAUGCGCAUGGUGGCGUUCACUCUCGCCUCAAUACGUCGACGCUUCAGCCUCUCUCGAAUCGGAACUAGAAGUUUGCCCAUCACAUUCGAGCUUCGCCUUUGGAGUUUUGAUCUUCAAUUUAGGAAGUUCGUCUUUGCAUAACUGAUUUGGAGAUAGAUUUAACUUCCAACAAUUUUGGUGGGCUCAGUGUAUCUUCGCCGUUUCCUACUUCUUAGCUCUAGAUGGAAAAUGGUUACUAAGGAAAGAAAUUUAGAAACUUCCACCAUUAUGUGACAUAGAGAGAAGAUGGAAAAGUCUGCCAGCAAUAGAUUAUCAAAAUUUUGAAUAGGCGAAAUCAGCUAGCAGCUAAUACUUUUUAAGGGCAGUGUUCUUUAUUGGAAUUUAGUGAGCUUUUUACCCUUUAAUCUUUUAUGAUAAUAAUUUUUUUCCUAGCUUCUUGCACCUCCUUGAUUUUUGUUAAAGUAUGCUUCACACCAUAAUUUCUUGUUAUUGUCAAAGCAUCUUGAAGGUGAAGGACAUUAAUAAAGUAGCCCUUUACAUGGGUGGCGGUUAUUGAAAAGAUUCUUAAUAUGGACAAUUUGAGGAAGAGAAGUAUUUGUAUUGCAGAAUGGUGUUCUAGAUGCAAAAACAGUGGGGAAAUCUAUGGAUCACUUUCUUCUCCUUUGUGCUUAUGUAUAAAGUUUAUGGUCCUUGGUGUUUUGUUUGUUCGGCAUCACGUGGUGGUGCCUAAGCGAGUGGUGGACUUGCUGGCAUGUUGGAAGGGGUUUUUGGUGGUCAUAAUUCUGCAGAAGUGCAGAUAUAUGGGGUGCUAUCCCACUAUGUAUUAUGUUGACUAUUGUGCAGGGAACUAAGGCCAUAUGCUAUAUCUAGUAGACGUGCUGUACCUGCUCAUAUUGAGCUUCCUGACUGGGCAGCUGAUGGUAUCCCAAAAACUGAGCCCAAUAGUGAUCUGCAGCAUGUUGUUGAGGAAAAUAUUCUCAAAGUGCAAGAAGAUCAUUGUCAAGAUCCUAAUGCAAUUCCCCUUAUACAAGAGGAGAUCUUAAACUUGGUUUUAAGAAAAAGUCCGGUAUUGUAAAAGGACUUGGCCUGAGACCUUCCUCUUCUCUAGUAACCACCGCCUCAUCUAAUUCCUCGGUGGAUUAUAUCUAACGGCUAGAAAAUGAGAUAAUUGAGCUCAAAGAGGCAAGAGUUAGGGAUCAAGAGGAGCGAGCUAGGGACCAAGAGGCACGAGCUAAGUAAGAAGAGGUCCAAAAGAAUUUUCUUAACUUUUUGAGGAGUAAGGGUUAUGAUGAAGCUCUUACCAAUAGGGGUGGUUCAACUUCAAGUUAAAACACUUAUUGUAUGUGUUGCAAACAAUUAUUGUAUAGAAGAAGUUUGAAUUGCAUACUUG
Quercus lobata is the source of this 1799-nucleotide long non-coding RNA. RefSeq lists it as uncharacterized. Lineage: Eukaryota; Viridiplantae; Streptophyta; Magnoliopsida; Fagales; Fagaceae. The record is from RefSeq and is a predicted model, not a curated record. The transcript is spliced from 5 exons.